AAAAAGACAAACUCUGUUUCCGUGCCUAACGUUUAACCGUCCGUUUUAUUUAAAAAAAAUAAAAAAAUUAAAAAGACAAAUCACGCAUAAAAUAUUAAUCAUGUUUUAUCAUCUAACAACAAUGAAAAUACGAAUUAUAAAAAAAUUUCAUAUAAGACGGACAGUCAAAGUUGGACACGCAAACCCAGGGUUUGCCUUUUU
RNAcentral lists this microRNA precursor (201 nucleotides) under Oryza sativa Indica Group (long-grained rice). RNAcentral's name for it is "MIR812 microRNA precursor family". It matches the Rfam family "MIR812 microRNA precursor family". The record is from Rfam by way of RNAcentral. Lineage: Eukaryota; Viridiplantae; Streptophyta; Magnoliopsida; Poales; Poaceae.